UUUUUUUUUUUUUUUGACAGGAUGGGCUGGGGUUGGGGGAGGAGGAAGCAAGAAUUAAGCAGAGAAGGCAAGCUCCUUUCUGUUCAUCUAACUCAAAACCCAAGUGACCACCUGGUAAUUACUUCAACAGCAGAGCGACUCAUACAGCCGGCAGUCCACUUUGUUCUUCUAUAGAUCCUGCCUGUGGUGUUGGAUCUAACAGCUUCUUCCCUGACCCAAGAUUAUGAAGGAUUUCUCCUGUGUUCUCUUCUAAAAAUUUUACAUUUAGGUCCUGGGCUUUCUCUGCUAGAAGAGGCUGAAUUCCUGGAGUACCUAGAGUACAGAGCUGGAGAGAAAUCUAGAAGUGGAAUUGCUGAGCUGUAGAGUAUGUGAAUCUCUACAACUUUCAACUUUACCAUGUAUUGUCAAAUUGCUCUCCAAAGUGAUGGUACCAAUUAAUGAUACUACCAAUAAGACCUGCACUAUAAAAAAUGGUAGAGGAAGUUCUUCAGUAUGAAAGUGAAUGAUACCAGAUGGAAACUGAGAUCUACAAAAUGAAACAUCACUGGAAAUAGUAAAUACAUGGCUUUGCUGCCAGUUUUCCAUCCAUCCCCCGGGGCUGAGAUGAGGUGAGAGGCCGCAAAUCCUAUCUAUGAAGAUAGGCACUUCCAUUCAUUCUGAAGUCCUCACAUAGUAGUUAUUCAGUGAAUGUACCCUGGGAUCCACUUUUCACCUUUCCCCUUACCUGCUUUGUGCUUCAAGAAACUGACUUCAACAGACAGCAUCAUCUGGGCUUCUUUACCCUGUAGUGUUCAGCUGAGUUCAGCCAAUGGAAGACACUAGUAGAAGACUGGAAGGAUAGAGGAGAGAAAGAUUGGAAUAUUUAUUCCCAUCUCAUACUACAGUUUUUGUAGUGAUGGUUCUUCCUAUUGGACAGCUUCCACCUAUAACUACAGUUCUCUCCUGGUUCCAGAAACUGCUUUCUCCACUUCUGACCUAGGAGUAGCCACAGCUCCCAGCUGUUGUUAGACCCCAGGUGUAUUUUGUCAUCUCUUGUUACUUCCCUUAACCCUGCCACAGCUCUGAAAAUAGUCCAGUAAUUAAAUACUUUUUGAGCUAUUUCUUUGAGUAUACCACCUGUUUGUUUCGUGCCUGGACCCUGAGUGAUACAGUAUAAUAAAUAAUGUUCAAUACAAUAUACAAUGUAAAAUACAAUAGAUAAUACAAUUCC
This is a long non-coding RNA of Homo sapiens (human), 1210 nucleotides long. The record is from Ensembl. NCBI's taxonomy places the organism in Eukaryota, Metazoa, Chordata, Mammalia, Primates, Hominidae.